This 74-nucleotide transfer RNA is filed under the name Globodera rostochiensis. It matches the Rfam family "tRNA". From Rfam's summary of the family: Transfer RNA (tRNA) molecules are approximately 80 nucleotides in length. Their secondary structure includes four short double-helical elements and three loops (D, anti-codon, and T loops). Lineage: Eukaryota; Metazoa; Nematoda; Chromadorea; Rhabditida; Heteroderidae. The record is from Rfam by way of RNAcentral.
GCUCCUGUGGCGCAAUCGGUUAGCGCGUUCGGCUGUUAACCGAAAGGUUGGUGGUUCGAAUCCACCCAGGAGCG